Molecule: small nuclear RNA, 194 nt
Organism: Xenopus tropicalis (tropical clawed frog)
Lineage: Eukaryota; Metazoa; Chordata; Amphibia; Anura; Pipidae
Gene: U2
Rfam family: U2 spliceosomal RNA
About the family: U2 is a small nuclear RNA (snRNA) component of the spliceosome (involved in pre-mRNA splicing). Complementary binding between U2 snRNA (in an area lying towards the 5' end but 3' to hairpin I) and the branchpoint sequence (BPS) of the intron results the bulging out of an unpaired adenosine, on the BPS, which initiates a nucleophilic attack at the intronic 5' splice site, thus starting the first of two transesterification reactions that mediate splicing.
Source: Ensembl
AUCGCUUCUCGGCCUUUUGGCUAAGAUCAAGUGUAGUAUCUGUUCUUAUCAGUUUCAGAUCAGAUAAUUGCUACUUGUGACGAAGCGGGGAGCUUGAUGAAAGCGGAGAAGCUGUGUUCCCAUUAGGGAAGAGCUGCCAAGCUUUUUGUCGGGGGCUUUGCACAUGCUUAUUAUGCCUAAUCAUGCUUUACAUU